Molecule: ribosomal RNA, 454 nt
Filed under: uncultured bacterium
Lineage: Bacteria
Description: partial 16S ribosomal RNA
Rfam family: Bacterial small subunit ribosomal RNA
Source: RNAcentral
GUUGAACGCUGACAGAAUGCUUAACACAUGCAAGUCAACUUGAACUUCGGUUUGGGUGGCGGACGGGUGAGUAACGCGUAAAGAACUUGCCUCACAGAUAGGGACAACAUUUGGAAACGAAUGCUAAUACCUGAUAUUAUGAUUAUAUGGCAUCGUAUAAUUAUGAAAGCUAUAUGCGCUGUGAGAGAGCUUUGCGUCCCAUUAGCUAGUUGGAGAGGUAACGGCUCACCAAGGCGAUGAUGGGUAGCCGGCCUGAGAGGGUGAUCGGCCACAAGGGGACUGAGACACGGCCCUUACUCCUACGGGAGGCAGCAGUGGGGAAUAUUGGACAAGGGACCAAGAGUCUGAUCCAGCAAUUCUGUGUGCACGAUGAAGUUUUUCGGAAUGUAAAGUGCUUUCAGUUGGGAAGAAAAAAAUGACGGUACCAACAGAAGAAGAGACGGCUAAAUACGUG